GCGGGCAGCAGGCAGGACACGUGGAAACGCAACCGCCAGGAGGAAAGGCGGGACACAGCGGGAAGGGAGGUUUGCCUCCCCUCUCUUCCUGUGGUGACCCCCACCUCACUUACAAAAAUCACCACCGACGUUUGGGAACCGUGCACGCCGACUGAAAGCAAAGCUCAGCUGACCUGCGAGGAGUCCCCGGGGAGCUGCCGCGGUGGUCGCCGUUGAGUCCGUCCGUGCCGCUGGGGCCGAGGCAGCUGGAGAUGUGGUCAACGGGCUGAUGGGCACGGCUGUGGGACCCCAUCAUUCCCCUGCCCCGCAUGACUCUGCUCUCCCAGCUCGACUGCUCACUUCAGACUUCCCUUAUGGAAGGAGUUGCCAGAUAGAGCAAGUAAAAUACAGUGUGCCAGACACAGGUUUAUUUCAACACUGGGAAGGCUCCAUUCCUACUUAAACCCAGCAGGGAACAGGGAGCGGUGUGCAGAGGAGGUGGCCUGCCCGGGAAGCCGGCCUUGGUGCUGGGACUGCAGGGAGAGGGCUGUGAGGAAGAGCACAGGCUUCAUGCACAUUGCACAGAGGAGGAGAUUCAUGGGGACAGCAGGCACUGGUUAGGCACAGCGGGAAGGUUAUCGAAGACAAAACACAUUUCUACCCAAGUUUAAAUGACCUGCUAUGCCCACAGAGCUUGAUCCAGAAGUGCACAGUAGAGACGGGGUUUCACCAUGUUAGCCAGGAUGGUCUCGAUCUCCUGACCUCGUGAUCUGCCCGCCUCAGCCUCCCAAAGUGCUGGGAUUACAGGAGUGAGCCACCGCUCCCGGCCCAGAACUUUUAAUAAAUAUAAAUACACAGGUAAUUUUAACACAUAUUCCUGAUGAAAUCAUUAUUAUCUGCAAUGCUUUCAUUCUGCUUUUUCUCUUAACAAUGGCAUAAACAUUUUUCAAGGUCAAUAAAUGUUUUUCAAAAUCGCAUUUGUAUUAGUGGCUGUAUAGUUUUCUAUCAAAUGUGGAAUAAACUCAAUUUAUUUCUCCCUUUUGUUCUUGAACAUUUAAGAUCAUUGGUUCAUAGUUACUAAUCAUGUUACAACAAAUAUUCAUGUAUUCCAAAUUUUGCUCAUUCCUGAUUAUUUCCUUAGAUUUCCAGGUAUGGAAUAAUUAGGUUGAAGUGUUUGAAAUCUUUUUUUGUUGGUUUGUUUGUUUUUGAGAUGUAGCUUCCCUCUGUUGCCCCGGCUGGAGUGCACUGGCAUGAUCUCAGCUCACUCACUGCAACCUCUGCUGCCUGGUUCAAGCGAUUCUCCUGCCUCAGCCUCCUGAAUAGCUGGGGUUACAGGUGCGCACCACCACGCCCGGCUAAUUUUUGUAUUUUUAGUAGAGACAGGGUUUCAUCAUGUUGGCCAGGUGGGUCUCAAACUCCUGACCUCAGGUGGUCCUUCUGCCUUGGCCUCCCAAAGUGCUGGGAUUACAGGCGUGAGCCACUGCGCCCGGCCGAAGUGUUUGAAAUCUUUAAGCAUCCUGGUAAAUAUUGAGUUUUGUCAAUAUUUAGAAAAGUUGCAUGAUUGACAUCGCUUCCACCCAUGUUUCAGAGCAUCUGAUUUGUCAGACCCUCACCAAAAAUGGGCUUUUAUCAAAAUGUAAUAAAAAAUAAAUACAACUUUUCCAAUGAC
This 1648-nucleotide long non-coding RNA is filed under the name Homo sapiens (human). RNAcentral's name for it is "non-protein coding LINC01558:2". Lineage: Eukaryota; Metazoa; Chordata; Mammalia; Primates; Hominidae. The record is from RNAcentral.